This 520-nucleotide ribosomal RNA is filed under the name uncultured bacterium. RNAcentral describes it as "bacterial SSU rRNA". It matches the Rfam family "Bacterial small subunit ribosomal RNA", at positions 553 to 1074 of the family's 1533-position model. The record is from RNAcentral.
ACUGGGCGUAAAGGGCACGCAGGCGGUGACUUAAGUGAGGUGUGAAAGCCCCGGGCUUAACCUGGGAAUUGCAUUUCAUACUGGGUCGCUAGAGUACUUUAGGGAGGGGUAGAAUUCCACGUGUAGCGGUGAAAUGCGUAGAGAUGUGGAGGAAUACCGAAGGCGAAGGCAGCCCCUUGGGAAUGUACUGACGCUCAUGUGCGAAAGCGUGGGGAGCAAACAGGAUUAGAUACCCUGGUAGUCCACGCUGUAAACGAUGUCGAUUUGGGGGUUGAACUUUAAGUUUGGCGCCCGUAGCUAACGUGAUAAAUCGACCGCCUGGGGAGUACGGCCGCAAGGUUAAAACUCAAAUGAAUUGACGGGGGCCCGCACAAGCGGUGGAGCAUGUGGUUUAAUUCGAUGCAACGCGAAGAACCUUACCUACUCUUGACAUCCAGAGAACAUUCCAGAGAUGGAUUGGUGCCUUCGGGAACUCUGAGACAGGUGCUGCAUGGCUGUCGUCAGCUCGUGUCGUGAGAAG